Molecule: non-coding RNA, 74 nt
Organism: Trichonephila clavata
Lineage: Eukaryota; Metazoa; Arthropoda; Arachnida; Araneae; Nephilidae
Source: the annotation of a GenBank genome assembly
GCCCUACCCAGUAUAGGGGUUAUAACACUCGGCUUGUAAUCGAGUAGGCUCGGGUUCAAAUCACGAAUAAGGCA